UACGUAGGGGGCAAGCGUUGUCCGGAAUCAUUGGGCGUAAAGAGCGUGUAGGCGGUCAGGUAAGUCGGCUGUGAAAGUCCAGGGCUCAACCCUGGGAUGCCGGUCGAUACUGCCGGACUAGAGUUCGGAAGAGGCGAGUGGAAUUCCCGGUGUAGCGGUGAAAUGCGCAGAUAUCGGGAGGAACACCUAUGGCGAAGGCAGCUCGCUGGGACGUUACUGACGCUGAGACGCGAAAGCGUGGGGAGCGAACAGG
This 253-nucleotide ribosomal RNA is filed under the name uncultured bacterium. RNAcentral's name for it is "partial 16S ribosomal RNA". It matches the Rfam family "Bacterial small subunit ribosomal RNA", at positions 524 to 776 of the family's 1533-position model. The record is from RNAcentral.